GUGAGGCCUUCGGACUGGCCCAGGGAGGUCGGCAACGACCACCCAGGGCCGGAAAGUUCGUCAAACUUGGUCAUUUAGAGGAAGUAAAAGUCGUAACAAGGUCUCCGUAGGUGAACCUGCGGAGGGAUCAUUA
Molecule: ribosomal RNA, 133 nt
Filed under: Rachicladosporium americanum
Lineage: Eukaryota; Fungi; Ascomycota; Dothideomycetes; Cladosporiales; Cladosporiaceae
Description: partial 18S ribosomal RNA
Rfam family: Eukaryotic small subunit ribosomal RNA
Source: RNAcentral